RNAcentral lists this ribosomal RNA (465 nucleotides) under Vreelandella stevensii. RNAcentral describes it as "partial 16S ribosomal RNA". It matches the Rfam family "Bacterial small subunit ribosomal RNA", at positions 338 to 795 of the family's 1533-position model. Lineage: Bacteria; Pseudomonadati; Pseudomonadota; Gammaproteobacteria; Oceanospirillales; Halomonadaceae. The record is from RNAcentral.
CCUACGGGCGGCAGCAGUGGGGAAUAUUGGACAAUGGGCGAAAGCCUGAUCCAGCCAUGCCGCGUGUGUGAAGAAGGCCUUCGGGUUGUAAAGCACUUUCAGUGGGGAAGAAAGCCUUGGGGCUAAUACCCUCGAGGAAGGACAUCACCCACAGAAGAAGCACCGGCUAACCCCGUGCCAGCAGCCGCGGUAAUACGGAGGGUGCGAGCGUUAAUCGGAAUUACUGGGCGUAAAGCGCGCGUAGGCGGUCUGAUAAGCCGGUUGUGAAAGCCCCGGGCUCAACCUGGGAACGGCAUCCGGAACUGUCAGGCUAGAGUGCAGGAGAGGAAGGUAGAAUUCCCGGUGUAGCGGUGAAAUGCGUAGAGAUCGGGAGGAAUACCAGUGGCGAAGGCGGCCUUCUGGACUGACACUGACGCUGAGGUGCGAAAGCGUGGGUAGCAAACAGGAUUAGAUACCCCUGUAGUC